GAGAAAGUAAGCAAGGGCAGACGGUGGAUGCCUUGGCUCUCGGAGGCGACGAAGGACGUGAUAAGCUGCGAAAAGCCCGGGGGAGGCGCAAAUAGCCGUUGAUCCCGGGAUAUCCGAAUGGGGCAACCCGGCAGGCUGAAGGCCUGUCAUCCCGAAAGGGAGGCGAACGUGGGGAACUGAAACAUCUAAGUACCCAUAGGAGGAGAAAAUAAACAAUGAUUCCGUAAGUAGUGGCGAGCGAACACGGAAGAGCCCAAACCCAUGUCGUCUAGGCGACACGGGGGUUGUAGGACCACGACGUGGCAAGAUAGAGUCAAGUGGAACGCCUUGGAAAAGGCGGUCAUAGAGGGUGAAAACCCCGUACACGACUGACGAUUGAAGCCUAGUGGCAUCCUGAGUAGCGCGGGGCACGAGAAAUCUUGCGUGAAUUAGCGGGGCCCAUCCCGUAAGGCUAAAUACUCCCGAGAGACCGAUAGCGAACCAGUACCGUGAGGGAAAGGUGAAAAGAACCCCGAGCAGGGGAGUGAAAUAGACCCUGAACCCGUCUGCCUACAAGCGGUCGGAGCGUCGUAAUGACGUGACGGCGUGCCUUUUGCAUAAUGAACCUACGAGUUACCUUCCCCGGCAAGGUUAAGUACCUAAGGUACGGAGCCGAAGCGAAAGCGAGUCUGAAGAGGGCGCCAAGUCGGGGGGGGUAGACGCGAAACCGAGUGAUCUACCCUUGGCCAGGUUGAAGGUUGGGUAACACCAACUGGAGGACCGGAUGGGUAAGCGUUGAAAAGCUUUCCAAUGAGCUGAGGGUAGGGGUGAAAGGCUAAUCAAACUCGGAGAUAGCUCGUACUCCCCGAAAUGCAUUUAGGUGCAGCCUCUUUAUAGUAUAUCGUGAGGUAGAGCGACUGAUUGGAUGCGAGGGCUUCACCGCCUAUCAAGUCCAGAUAAACUCCGAAUGCGCGAUAUAUAUUUACAGGGAGUGAGGGCGCGGGUGCUAAGGUCCGUGUCCGAGAGGAGAAGAAUCCAGACCACCGGCUAAGGCCCCCAAAUGAUCGUUAAGUUGAACUAACGAGGUCGGAUCGCAGAGACAGCUAGGAUGUUGGCUUGGAAGCAGCCAUUCAUUUAAAGAGUGCGUAACAGCUCACUAGUCGAGCGAUCUGGCGUGGAUAAUAAUCGGGCAUAAACGAUCUGCCGAAGCCGUGGAUGUCGCAAGACAUGGUAGGGGAGCAUUCCAUGCGGCGUCGAAGAUGAGGGAUGACCCUUGUUGGAGCGCAUGGAAAAGCAAAUGUAGGUAUGAGUAACGAUAAGGGGGGCGAGAAACCCCCCCGCCGAAAGACCAAGGUUUCCUGAUCAACGCUAAUCGGAUCAGGGUGAGUCGGGACCUAAGGCUAAGCCGAACGGCGACGCCGAUGGAAGAAUGGGUUAAUAUUCCCAUACUGCCUCAUGGAGUGACGUGGAGACGGAGAAGUGACAGUCCUGCCGGCUGACGGAAUAGCCGGUUGAAGGGUGUAGAUAUUGAUUCCCGUAGGCAAAUCCGCGGGGAGAGUCGAACCUGAGAGUAUACGGAGCGCUUGCGCAACGUAAUAUGGACGUAACCAUGCUCCCGAGAAAAUCCGCUAAACUUAUCCAUGCGGCACCCGUACCGUAAACGGACACACGUGGUCGGGUUGAGAAUACUGAGGCGCUCGAGUGAUUCACGGUUAAGGAACUAGGCAAAUUGACCCUGUAACUUCGGGAUAAAGGGUCCUCGUCGUAAGGCGAGGCGCAGAGAAUAGGUCCAGGCAACUGUUUAACAAAAACACAUGGCUGUGCUAAAUGGAAACAUGAUGUAUACAGCCUGACACCUGCCCGGUGCCGGAAGGUUAAGAGGAGAUGUCAUCCGCGAGGAGAAGCGUUGAAUUGAAGCCCCGGUAAACGGCGGCCGUAACUAUAACGGUCCUAAGGUAGCGAAAUUCCUUGUCGGGUAAGUUCCGACCUGCACGAAUGG
Molecule: ribosomal RNA, 1978 nt
Filed under: Phocaeicola dorei
Lineage: Bacteria; Pseudomonadati; Bacteroidota; Bacteroidia; Bacteroidales; Bacteroidaceae
Description: Bacteroides dorei partial 23S ribosomal RNA
Rfam family: Bacterial large subunit ribosomal RNA
Source: RNAcentral